This 408-nucleotide ribosomal RNA is filed under the name uncultured bacterium. RNAcentral describes it as "partial 16S ribosomal RNA". It matches the Rfam family "Bacterial small subunit ribosomal RNA", at positions 28 to 526 of the family's 1533-position model. The record is from RNAcentral.
GACGAACGCUGGCGGCGUGCUUAACACAUGCAAGUCGAACGGAGUGGCGAACGGGUGAGUAACACGUGGGUGAACUGCCCUGCAAUUCGGGCUAAGCCUGGGAAACUGGGUCUAAUACCGGAUAGUGUGGGAUGGGCCCGGGGCCUAUCAGCUUGUUGGUGGGGUAAUGGCCUACCAAGGCGGAGACGGGUAGCCGGCCUGGGAGGGUGGACGGGCACAAUAGGACUGCGGCAGGGCCCAGACUCCUACGGGAGGCAGCAGUGGGAAGUAUUGCACAGUGGGGGGAAGCCUGAUGCAGCGGCGCCGCGUGGGGGAUGACGGCCUUCUGGUUGUAAACUCCGUUCACCGUCGACGCGGUAGAUGGAGAAGAAGCACCGGCUAACUACGUGCCAGCAGCCGCGGUAAUAC